This 307-nucleotide ribosomal RNA is filed under the name uncultured bacterium. RNAcentral describes it as "bacterial SSU rRNA". It matches the Rfam family "Bacterial small subunit ribosomal RNA", at positions 488 to 786 of the family's 1533-position model. The record is from RNAcentral.
AGCCAGGCUAACUCUGUGCCAGCAGCCGCGGUAAUACAGAGGGUGCAAGCGUUAAUCGGAUUUACUGGGCGUAAAGCGCGCGUAGGCGGCUAAUUAAGUCAAAUGUGAAAUCCCCAGAGCUUAACUUAGGGAAUUGCAUUNCGAUACUGGUUAGNCUAGAGUGUGGGAGAGGAUGGUAGAAUUCCAGGUGUAGCGGUGAAAAUGCGUAGAGAUCUGGAGGAAUACCGAUGGGCGAAGGCAGCCAUUCUGGCCUAACACUGACGCUGAAGGUGCGAAAGCAUGGGGGAGCAAAACAGGAUUAGAUUAC